ACCCAGCGCAGGAGCCAGUGGCCCGGCUGCAACACGAGACGGGCACGGGCUCAGGAAAGCUCCCCUGGCGCCCCCGCCCCCACUCUGUGGUUGUGCAAAAUGGUCAAUUACUUCGUCUGAAACAGAGGCCACGUCUGUUCUCCAAUGCUGUGCUUUGGGCGCGGCCUGAGACUAUCCGAUGUUUAAGUUGGUUCAGGUGGCCCAGGGAAAAGGCAAAACAGUACUUUCACAGACUGCAGAAAGCAUCUGAGAAUAAACGAACAUCUCAGAGGGAAGGCUGUGUGGUGGAAGGGAGGCGAUGGUCUUAUUUCCAGUACCAGGAAGGUCCCAGACUCGUGCCUUCUUUCCCAGAUGUCAGCAUGUUCCUCUGCUCAAAAUGUUCCUGGCCUCUUAAAAGAACAUUGUAAAAUGUUAUAUAUGAUAUUAGAGUUUAAAUAAAAAGUUGUUAAAAAAUCCUAAUUAAAUAUACAAGAAUAAAAUUCAUUUUCCCAUUGAAAUCCUACUGAAUUUGCUAAAAAAAAAAAAAAGAUAUUCAAAACAGAGUUUUUUUUCCUUAAGACUAGUCCAAAUGUCCGUAUUAUAAAUUAAUUUAUGGGCUGGGGAUGUGGCUCAAGUGGUAGCA
RNAcentral lists this long non-coding RNA (622 nucleotides) under Ictidomys tridecemlineatus (thirteen-lined ground squirrel). Its description in RNAcentral is "lncRNA (ENSSTOG00000032452.1)". Lineage: Eukaryota; Metazoa; Chordata; Mammalia; Rodentia; Sciuridae. The record is from RNAcentral.